GUCACUUGGUCAGUGCUUGGGAGACACCUAGUGGCUGGUAGACGGCCACUAGAAGUGGACUUAACCAUGCUAUGUAAACCACUGCAGUUUCCAAAAAAACAAAACUGAUGGUACAAUACAGGGAUUGGAUUGCACCCAGCAUAUCUCUUUAAAGGAAAUUGGGUUAUAGUGUUAGAUGUCUUUGGAAUUAAAUGCAGCAGAAAAAGGAUGGAGUCAUUGCCUACAUGCAG
Pelobates cultripes (western spadefoot toad) is the source of this 230-nucleotide non-coding RNA. NCBI's taxonomy places the organism in Eukaryota, Metazoa, Chordata, Amphibia, Anura, Pelobatidae. The record is from the annotation of a GenBank genome assembly.